UACGGAGGGUGCAAGCGUUAAUCGGAAUUACUGGGCGUAAAGCGUGCGUAGGCGGCUGUUUAAGUCAGAUGUGAAAGCCCCGGGCUUAACCUGGGAACUGCAUUUGAUACUGGGCAGCUAGAGUUGAGUAGAGGAGAGGGGAAUUUCAGGUGUAGCGGUGAAAUGCGUAGAGAUCUGAAGGAACACCAGUGGCGAAGGCGCCUCUCUGGACUCAAACUGACGCUGAGGUACGAAAGCGUGGGUAGCAAAC
This 250-nucleotide ribosomal RNA is filed under the name uncultured bacterium. RNAcentral's name for it is "partial 16S ribosomal RNA". It matches the Rfam family "Bacterial small subunit ribosomal RNA", at positions 524 to 773 of the family's 1533-position model. The record is from RNAcentral.